RNAcentral lists this unclassified non-coding RNA (339 nucleotides) under soil metagenome. Its description in RNAcentral is "partial contains 5.8S ribosomal RNA, internal transcribed spacer 2, and large subunit ribosomal RNA". The stretch from base 1 to 120 matches the Rfam family "5.8S ribosomal RNA", at positions 35 to 154 of the family's 154-position model. The record is from RNAcentral.
GAUGAAGAACGUAGUGAAAUGCGAUACGUAGUGUGAAUUGCAGAAUUCAGUGAAUCAUCGAAUCUUUGAACGCACAUUGCACCUCUCGGUAUUCCGGGAGGUAUGCCUGUUCGAGAGUCAUUUGUACCCUCAAGCUCUGCUUGGUGUUGGGUGUUUGUUCCGCCUCUGUGUGUGAACUCGCCUCAAAACAAUUGGCAGCCGGCGUACUUGUUUCGGAGCGCAGCACAUUUUGCGAUCCAGAUCAACGUACAGCGGCAUCCAAGAAGCCUUAUUUAACGCUCUUGACCUCGGAUCAGGUAGGGAUACCCGCUGAACUUAAGCAUAUCAAUAAGCGGAGGA